RNAcentral lists this long non-coding RNA (356 nucleotides) under Mytilus galloprovincialis (Mediterranean mussel). The record is from RNAcentral. Lineage: Eukaryota; Metazoa; Mollusca; Bivalvia; Mytilida; Mytilidae.
AUCGCCAGAGUUACAAAUUAAGCAUUUUCUAUUUUCUCUUGCAACAUUUUGCCAUCUACCAGUCUCAAUAGGACAUCUAAAUUUUGUCCCAAGGUAUUUCAUGAUUUCGGGAACAAAAUAUAAUAAAAAAUGUGGGUUACCGACUUCGUUUUGUCAACCUCAGUUUAAUAUAAACAUUGAUUGUUUGUUAUUUCAAAAUUUAAAUAAUCCAUCAAUACCGAACCUACAACCAUAAUUCUUUUUCUCAUGUUAAACAGUAGAUUUCAGUCAAUCAAUUAAAGAGUUUAGAGCUUAUGUUCCUAUGUGCCUUGAUUUUUAUAAGUAUGUUUAUUUCAUUCCAGUCAAAAAUAAUAUGU